This 20-nucleotide ribosomal RNA is filed under the name Dendrographa decolorans. RNAcentral describes it as "partial large subunit ribosomal RNA". The record is from RNAcentral. Lineage: Eukaryota; Fungi; Ascomycota; Arthoniomycetes; Arthoniales; Roccellaceae.
GACCUCGGAUCAGGUAGGAG